RNAcentral lists this ribosomal RNA (253 nucleotides) under uncultured bacterium. Its description in RNAcentral is "partial 16S ribosomal RNA". It matches the Rfam family "Bacterial small subunit ribosomal RNA", at positions 524 to 776 of the family's 1533-position model. The record is from RNAcentral.
GACGUAGGGCGCGAGCGUUGUCCGGAUUUAUUGGGCGUAAAGAGCUCGUCGGCGGCUUGUCGCGUCGAUCGUGAAAACUCACAGCUCAACUGUGAGCUUGCGGUCGAUACGGGCAGGCUCGAGUUCGGUAGGGGAAACUGGAAUUCCUGGUGUAGCGGUGAAAUGCGCAGAUAUCAGGAGGAACACCGGUGGCGAAGGCGGGUCUCUGGGCCGAUACUGACGCUGAGGAGCGAAAGCGUGGGGAGCGAACAGG